AUGAAGAAACAGAUCCAACAAUUUGUGAAAUCUUUUCUCAUUUGUCAACAGGCCAAACCAGAGAGAGUGGCUUAUCCUGGGUUGCUCUCACCACUGCCUGUUCCAGCAAAAGCUUGGGAGAUAGUGACAAUGAACUUUAUCUCGGGAUUGCCAUCUUCUGAUCAGUAUGACUGCAUCAUGGUGGUCAUUGACAAAUUUACAAAAUAUGGUCAUUUCAUACCUGUCAAACACCCAUAUACAACCCAGAAGAUUGCUGAACUUUUUCUGGACAAUAUUUACAAGCUUCAUGGUAUGCCCCUCUAUAUAGUAUCUGACAGAGAUCCAGUUUUCACCAGCAAAUUCUGGCAAGCUCUGGUGAAGAGGACAGGAGCUGUACUUAAUAUGAACAUAGCCUAUCAUCCUGAAACUGAUGGGCAGACAAAGCGUGUUAAUCAGUAG
RNAcentral lists this ribosomal RNA (438 nucleotides) under Triticum aestivum (bread wheat). RNAcentral's name for it is "partial small subunit ribosomal RNA". The record is from RNAcentral. Lineage: Eukaryota; Viridiplantae; Streptophyta; Magnoliopsida; Poales; Poaceae.